UAACACGUGAGCAACCUGCCCUUGACUCUGGAAUAACAGUUGGAAACAGCUGCUAAUACCGGGUAUGACAUUCUCCUGCAUGGGGGGGUGUGGAAAGCCCUGGCGGUCAAGGAUGGGCUCGCGGCCUAUCAGCUAGUUGGUGAGGUAAUGGCCCACCAAGGCGACGACGGGUAGCCGGCCUGAGAGGGUGACCGGCCACACUGGGACUGAGACACGGCCCAG
This 222-nucleotide ribosomal RNA is filed under the name uncultured bacterium. RNAcentral describes it as "partial 16S ribosomal RNA". It matches the Rfam family "Bacterial small subunit ribosomal RNA", at positions 111 to 334 of the family's 1533-position model. The record is from RNAcentral.